Molecule: non-coding RNA, 91 nt
Organism: Delphinella strobiligena
Lineage: Eukaryota; Fungi; Ascomycota; Dothideomycetes; Dothideales; Dothioraceae
Source: the annotation of a GenBank genome assembly
AGUCGCAUGGUCUAGUGGUAUGACGUUUCCUUCACAUCACGUACUUCUAGAAGUGCGGAAAAGGUCCUGGGUUCGAUCCCCAGUGCGACUA